RNAcentral lists this ribosomal RNA (1791 nucleotides) under Schizomavella linearis. RNAcentral describes it as "SSU rRNA". It matches the Rfam family "Eukaryotic small subunit ribosomal RNA". Lineage: Eukaryota; Metazoa; Bryozoa; Gymnolaemata; Cheilostomatida; Bitectiporidae. The record is from RNAcentral.
ACCAACUGGGUGCACCUGCAGUCUGGUNGAUCNNNCCGGNGGNUGAAACUGCGGANNGCUCAUUAAAUCAGUUAUGUUACNUGAUUGUACAAUGUUUACAUGGAUAUCUGUGGUAAUUCUAGAGCUAAUACAUGCGAAAGGUCCCGACCUCUGGAAGGGAUGUAUUUAUCAGCUUUAAAACCAAUGGAGUCCUUGUGUCUCGCAUUAUUGACGAAUCAUGAUAACUGUUCGAAUCGCACGGCCUCGUGCUGGCGAUGUUUCUUUCAAAUUUCUGCCCUAUCAACUGUCGAUGGUACGGUAGUGGCCUACCAUGGUUUUUACGGGUGACGGAGAAUCAGGGUUCGGUUCCGGAGAGGGAGCCUGAGAAACGGCUACCACAUCUAAGGAAGGCAGCAGGCACGGAAAUUACCCAAUCCCAAUUCGGAGAGGUAGUGACGAACAAUACCGAUGCGGCGCACACAUGUGCCGCCGUAAUCGGAAUGAGUACACUUCAAAUCCUUUAACGAGGAUCCACUGGAGGGCAAGCCUGGUGCCAGCAGCCGCGGUAAUUCCAGCUCCAGCAGCGUAUAUUUAUAUUGCUGCGUUUAAAAAGCUCGUAGUUGAAGCGUCAGACGCGGGAGGGCGGACGGCCGCAUUGGUCAGUCGCGCCCGACCGAGCCAGGCGCAGAAUGGCGCGCGUCGCUUGCACUUCACCGUGUGAGCGCGCCGCCGCUGCACGUUCACCUUGAAGAAAUUGAACCGCUUAGAGGGGGCGAGCAGCUUGGACAGCUCAGCAUGGUAUGAUGGAACAUGGGCUCGUACUCAUUUUGUUGGUUAGAGAGUUGGCGAGCCAAUGAUUAACAGGGACUGCCGGGGGCAUUCGUACUCGGACGGGAGAGGUGAAAUUCAAGGAUCGUCCGAAGACGCCCUACUGCGAAAGCAUUUGCCAAGAAUGUUUUCAUUAAUCAAGAACGAAAGUCAGAGGUGCGAAGGCGAUCAGAUACCGCCGUAGUUCUGACCGUAAACGAUGCCGACUGGCAAUUGGGCGCACUUCUAUAGAAGUUGCCGCCAGCAGUAUUGCCCGGGAAACCAAAGUCAUUGGGUUCCGGGGGGAGUAUGGUUGCAAAGCUGAAACUUAAAGGAAUUGACGGAAGGGCACCACCAGGAGUGGAGCCUGCGGCUUAAUUUGACUCAACACGGGGAACCUCACCCGGCCCGAACACUGUUAUGACAGACAGGUUGAGAGCUCUUUCUCGAUUCAGUGGUUGGUGGUGCAUGGCCGUUCUUAGUUCGUGGAGCGAUCUGUCUGGUUAAUUCCGAUAACGAACGAGACUCUUGCCUGCUAAAUAGACGGCGUCGACACGAGCGGCGACCGUUCGCUUCUUAGAGGGACAAGCGGCUUUUAGCCGCGUGAAGCAGAGAGCAAUAACAGGUCAGUGAUGCCCUCAGAUGUUCGGGGCCGCACGCGCGCUACACUGUUUGCAUCAGCGUGUUUCUCCCGCGCCGGCUGGCGUGGGCAACCCGUUGAACCGCAAACGUGCUAGGGAUCGGAGAUUGCAAUUGUUCUCCGUGAACGAGGAAUUCCUUGUACUGGCGAGUCAUCAGCUCGCGGGGAAUCUGUCCCUGCCCUUUGUACACACCGCCCGUCGCUACUACCGAUUGAGUGGUUUAGUGAGGCUCACGGACUGCGCGCGGCACUCGGCAGCUAAUCGGGCGUCGCGCCGCGAUGUGGAAAGUGAGACGAACUUGUCACUUNUAGGANGUNAAAAGNCNUNACAAGGUUUUCGUAGUGAACUGCCGGGAAGGAUCAUA